Molecule: ribosomal RNA, 450 nt
Filed under: uncultured bacterium
Lineage: Bacteria
Description: partial 16S ribosomal RNA
Rfam family: Bacterial small subunit ribosomal RNA
Source: RNAcentral
CCUACGGGGGGCUGCAGUGGGGAAUUUUGGACAAUGGGGGCAACCCUGAUCCAGCCAUGCCGCGUGCGGGAAGAAGGCCUUCGGGUUGUAAACCGCUUUCGGCCGGAACGAAAUCGCCGGGGAGAACAUCCCCGGUGGAUGACGGUACCGGAAGAAGAAGCACCGGCUAACUACGUGCCAGCAGCCGCGGUAAUACGUAGGGUAAGUGCUGUAAUCGGAAUUACUGGAGGCGGUGCGUGCGCAGGCGGUUGAAAUCCCCGGGCUUAACCUGGGAACUGCGUUUGUGACUGGCGGGCUGGAGUGCGGAAGAGGGAGGUGGAAUUCCACGUGUAGCAGUGAAAUGCGUAGAGAUGUGGAGGAACACCGAUGGCGAAGGCAGCCUCCUGGUCUAGCACUGACGCUCAUGCACGAAAGCGUGGGGAGCAAACAGGAUUAGAUACCCCAGUAGUC